Molecule: ribosomal RNA, 253 nt
Filed under: uncultured bacterium
Lineage: Bacteria
Description: partial 16S ribosomal RNA
Rfam family: Bacterial small subunit ribosomal RNA
Source: RNAcentral
UACGUAGGGUGCAAGCGUUGUCCGGAAUUAUUGGGCGUAAAGAGCUCGUAGGCGGUUUGUCGCGUCUGCUGUGAAGUCCCGAGGCUCAACCUCGGGCCUGCAGUGGGUACGGGCAGACUAGAGUGCGGUAGGGGAGAUUGGAAUUCCUGGUGUAGCGGUGGAAUGCGCAGAUAUCAGGAGGAACACCGGUGGCGAAGGCGGGUCUCUGGGCAACAACUGACGCUGAGGAGCGAAAGCGUGGGGAGCGAACAGG